Non-coding RNA from Equus caballus (horse), 9680 nucleotides. Lineage: Eukaryota; Metazoa; Chordata; Mammalia; Perissodactyla; Equidae. The record is from RefSeq and is a predicted model, not a curated record.
CUUCCUCAAAUAAAUAAAUGGACUGUGCCAAGUGUUGACAAGGAUGUGGAGGAUUGGAGCUCUCAUAUACUGCUGAUAGGAAGGCAAACUAACACAACUGCUUGGGAAAAUACUUUGGCAGUUUCCUAAAAAAAUGUCAAAAAUACACCUACCACGUGACGCAGCCAUCUCACUCUUAGGGACUGACUCAGGAGAAAUGAAAGCACACGUCACAGGGAUGCUCACAGCAGCGGUAUUUGUAAUAGCUGGAGACAACCCAAAUGUCAGUCCACAAGUUCACACAGUGUGUACGUCCCUCCCAUAGAAUGGUACUCACACUGAAGAGGAACGAACACACCACAACAUGGAUGAAACACAAAAUAAUUACCUUCAGUGAAAGAAGCUAGGCAAAAAAGACUACAUACUGUAUGAUUCCACUUACAUAAAAUUCCAGAAAAUGCACACUAAUCUCUGGUGGAAGAAAGAAGACGGGUGGUCCCCUAGGCAUGGAGUCAGAGGAGGGGCUCCCAGGGCGCGGGGAAACUUCGGGGCUGACGGUCAUUAUCUCAAUAGCAGGGAUGGUUCACCACUGUGCAAAUACGCCAAAACUCAUCAAACCGCACACUUUAAAUAUGUGCAGCUCAUUCUAUGUCAGGGAUGGCUCAAUAAAGCUGCUUUAAAAACAUAGUACAAUGGAGAGAAGUACACCAAUAUCUGAACCAAACCCAUCUCUGACUGUGGGAUUAUUAAUGAUGAUCCUUUUCUUCUUUAUCAUUUUCUGAAUUUUCCACAUUGUCCAAAAUGAGCAAGUUAUACUAUCAAAAUCAUAAAAACUACUUUUGUGAGAAAAAAGAAUUAGGUGUACAGAGAAAUUUCAGGAAAAUAGUCUGUACUUACGAACCUUGAGAUCACUGGGUGAAAAAAAUCAGACACGGCACUUUCAGAUGACAAAGGAUUCUCUGUUCUUUCAAAGGCCCUGGUAGGCCGGUCGGGACUGAGAGGGUUUUACAAGUUCCAUGUGAACAAAAAGUCUAAAUCUAAAGCAAUCUUCGGAGAAGGCAACAUAAUAACAAAAUGCCUUGUUUAGCCGGACUGUCCAGCUCAAAUCUCUCUAGUCCAUCAGUGGGAGACAGACGCUGAGAGCAAGGAAAAGGAAGAGACAGUGUGGCAGCCACGAAGGUGAAUUUUCACGUGAUGUCCUGACCCGUCGUUUGUUGAGUUUGCCCAGGAGUAAGAGGAUUAAGGAAUAAUCUAACAUAAUAAGCAGUGACCCGCAUUGCAUAUCGCAUAUCCUCAAAAAGAACACGUCCUGCAAAGUACAAGUCAGGCUACGGAAAAUGCUACUCCACAUCUGACCAAAUACCGUCGUCUCAUUAAUCUGAGUUUCUUUGCUUAGAAACUUUUGCCAAAUAUGUCUGUACUGGGCUGAGGAUUCACUCUGAAUUUUUGUUAAUAGUAAAAGUAAUAACUUUUAAAAAGCUUUCAUGGAACAUAUUUAACCGACUUAGAUAAUAAACUAUUUUUAAAGCCCUCGCUGCAUUUGGAUAUCGAGUUUCAAGGCUUAUCAAGUAAUUUUUUAUGUUCAUUUAUUCAACAAAAAGUCACUUUCAGCAACUGUGCUGGGCCCGAGGCUAUGAAGAAGCAAAUACAACCCACGCCUUCUUGGAGCUCUUCAUCCAAGGACCAGGAAACCUACAAAUGGUUGCCAUACAAGGAGUCAGCAGCUCGGGAGAAUGAAAAAGGAGUCAGAGAAGCCUACAGAGGGAAGAUGAGGAAACAGAGGGUCAGAGGUCAAGCAAUCUGCACGAAGUCAUCCAGCUGCCAGUAUCAAAGCCGCCUUCACUGUCAAGCCCUACAAAUGUCUCUGAUGGCCCUUCAACCAGAUUUUCUUCGGGGCAUUUCCAAAGCUGAAGAUGUGACAAGAAUAUCUGCUCUUUCACUCUGAUUUUUGGACAGUGGGAUGUGCCAUUUCAAUGUCCCUAAACAGACACUGAAAGCAGUAAGAGAAUGGAGCAAGGUGGUGUUGUCUACACUGCCCAGGUGGUCACUGGGCUCCCAACCAAAUCAACUAGCACUCAGCCUGGCUCUUGUGUAAGCAACAGCACCAACAUUGCAGACAGCACAUCAAGCGGGAGCAGGGGAAUGGAGCCAGCGCCUUAUCCUGCAGUCCUGCUCUUACACCUACCAGCCGUGUGACCUCUGACAAACACCUCCACCUCCAUUAGCCUCAGUUUCCUCAUCUGGAGAAUGGGAGGGCCCACCCCGUUUUAAAGCUGCACCAAACAGAUAUGACCACCCCCGCUUUACUUGGUGAGCCCACAAAUCCUGUCCCUUCUGGCAUAGCAGACAAGGGACAUAUUCCCAACCCAACGGCAGAAAAGCUGCCAGCUGAUAAGGAACCACUGAAGUUCCACAGAGAACGUAACCAAGAAGGGGAGAGCCUGUCGCCAGGCCAGUGGUGGGUGGUUGAGGAGAAAGGCCUGGGCAAAUGGCGUGGGAUGGCCACUUGGGCCCAAGCACAAAACAGACCAGCAGAGGAAGCCAGUCAAGAAAAAGAGCUCUGAGGUGAAUGGGUGCUGUGAGGAAGAGGGGAGCAGAGUGAAGACCAUGGCAUGGCUCCCGGACGGCAGGGCAGGAGCCUGGAGGAGCCUCCUUCGGUUCCUCCAACCUGCCUCCUUCGUCUGAGCCAGCCCGAGGAAGCACCCUUUCCUUCCAUCAAAACAACACAAAACAGAAUGUUUCUAGUGCAUAGUAGGUGCCCAGGAAAAGUAAGCACAGUUCUUUUGCUGGACUUGACUGAAGGAGGUAAACACGCUCAAGUGAGCCCCCACGGCCGUAGCUUGGUUUGUGCGGGGUCAUCUUCCUGUCUAUUCCAGAAGCCACGGCUGGACUAACUCUGCGAGAUAUACUGCACAACAAGUGUGCACCUCAUCGUCGCGGCUAAUUACCUCCUGAUCACUUAAGAAUAUUUUCCCAUUAAGCCACAGAGCGGACAGGGAGAAGGGAGUCUCUUCUCUUCCGUGGGGCCUCUGAAGAAUCCCGCAGACGAUGCCACCGACCUGUCUCAUUUCAGGCGCACCUCGGCCACUCAACCUGGGUGAAUUUAAUGGCUCGGGACAGGUCGGGUGAUGAAUGUCCCUGUAAAUCAUUUAUAAUUGCAAGCAUAACAAUUAAAAAUCAGUCUGAAGAGCAAGAUAACGUAACGCUAAUGACAGAGAGCAGUAACUGAAGACAGAGGUCCCCACUCCAAUCAGGCCCAUUUGAUGACGGGCGCCAAGCCUCUGGGGAUUGUUCCGGAAACAAAAGCCUGGGACCAACUUCAGUCUUUAAUGACUUGCCACGAUAAAAGAAAUUAACUGGAUUUUCAUAUUAUAAUUAUAAAACUUAAUAGGGAAUUUUUCUCCUCCAUACUUUUUAUUUUUCUCCUGGUCGAGGAUAAACCAACAUACAGUCUAUUCCCCUCCCAAGGACGACUUUAAAAGGCUGGCAAUGUUCCGGCACAUCAUGUUGAAGGUCCAGCUAAUAAAGCACGUCCGGGAAGGGGAGCUGCCAGUGCUGUAACAGACAGUUUCUAGAGCUUUGAGAAAUUAGAAGUCUCUACCAUAUGUUCAAUGUCUAUAUAAUACCAUAGUCCGCCAAGUCAGUCAGAGUCGAGAACGGGUGAGCAUUAAAACAUAAAUCUCUUCCCUUGGGAUGCUUUCAAACCACGAAUUGAGUUCUCUCUCUCCUUGCCUCUUCGCCUGGUGGGUACCUAUCAUAUUCCCAAGUCUCCCUCAGGUGAGACUUCUUCCAGGAAGCCUUCCCUGACCACCACCCCUUGUCCCCUUUUCCCAGAACUGCCCCACCCUGAAGCCUCCACACUCUUUCUUCCAGGUUUCCUCUGAACCUUGUACACAAACUAAUUCCAGACUUGCUGCACGGCAUUGUGACACACAACAGUAAGAUCCUUGCAUUCUCUCCUACAAAACCCAAGUUCUCUGAGGGGAGACCACCAGGGAACCAUGAGUGACGGGCCCUCUGAACACCUGACACGCUGCAGGCUCUCGGUAAAUACUUGUCAGUGACUGAGAUUUACCUUAACUCUGGGUAACUGAGGAUAAACAAGUGAGAGAAAAGUCAAGAAAACACCAAGCCUUUAGCACUGAAGAAUAAAAAACACAAAGAGAGAAAAGGGAAAAAAGGUGUUUUGUCCAGCAGGUCAGCUUCUUCAGGUAGACAUGCGUGUGCGCACACACAUACACACAAAUUCUCACUCUUGACAACAAGAAAAAACCAUGGGUUAUUUUCUGUGGAGCUUUUACAUAUCUCCAAGAGCCCUUGAUAAAAUUCCAGUCUUUUCCUGAGCAGCUGGGGUGAUGCUGCUCCAUAUAAUUUCCUCUCCACAUGUGUUAAUAUAGUCAUAUUUCAGGCGAAUGAGUACGAAUUUUUUAGUUGCAAGCAAAAGAAACCGACUUCAAUCAACUUAAGGGGAAAAACCAGGUCCAGGUGUAUUUUGUUUUUAGGACUCAGAAAUAUCUCACCAAAGCCGAGGGCAGGAACAUGGCAGGGCAUCGGGAAGGAAGGAACUGAGGCCUGGAAGUUGUCCUGUCCACAGGGUCCCCUCUCUCUCCCCUGGGUCCCAUUCCCUCGUCUCUCCCACCCUCUGGAGCAGCUUGGUGGUGUCAGCAUCACCUGGAGGACCUGCUAAGUGCAGACUGCUGGUCUCCCCUCCAGAGUUUCCAGAUCCACGGGUCUGCGGUGGGGCCUGAGAAUCUGCAUUUCUCGCCAGUUCUCCGGCGCUGCUGCUGGUCUGGGCACUGACUCUAAGAACCACCGCUCCACACCAGUUACGGUACAGGGCAGGACGACGGCCACCAGAGCUGCUGGGUUUGCAGGUCACAGCUCCAGCCACCAGGAAGACUCACCCGGGUCCCUCUGCCAACCUGUCGGGAGACGGAACUGAUGGCCCCAUUGGAUUAAGACAUCCACCCUGGGCCCUCAGCUAUGGCCAGACACACAGCUGACUAUGGGCAUGUCAUGUGGUCCCAGGGAGGAGGAGCUGGGCAGACAACGAUGCGGAACGGCCAGGAGAUGUGAGGGAGUCCUGCAUUCUCACUGGGCUGGUGGGAGCCGGGUGCCUUAUCAUAGCAAAAGCUCAGGACUUGGGAAACCCAUGCUCAGCUCAAACAGAACUCAGAGUUACUCCCAUCUCUGCGAACCGCAGCCCCCAUCAAGUGUUGAGAGGCAGGAAGGGAGCGGGACUUGCUUCAGGCUGGGAGACUCCAGCAGAGGGUGGAAGAGCUUGGUCCGGUGCAGUGGCUCUUAACCAGGGAACACUCUGCCCCCCAGGGACACUGGUAAUUUCUGGAGACAGUUUUGGUUCUCACAACCUAGGUGGGUCAGGGCGGUGAGGGGCUUCUGGCAGCUAGUGCGGAGAGGCCAGAGAUGCUGCUAAACAUCCUAUAAGGCACAGGACAGCCCUCACAGCAAAGAAUACCUGGCUCAAAAUGUCAAGAGUGCCAAGGUUGAGAAAUCCUGGUCUAGAACCUACAAGAUCCUUAAGAAAGAUUGCAGUCUCCUCCUGCACAGCGGGGGCAAGAGUGCUCCACAGGGCUGAGGCCCAGUCCCAGCUGCGGAGCUGGGGUCCGGCACUGCUGCUUGCUGUGUGCCACACCUCUGUGCCUCAGUUUCCACAUUCAUAAAUGGGAUAAUAGGGGUGUUGGAGGGAAUUCAAUGAGUCAAUAGCUGUAAAUAAUUUAGCCCAGUGCCUCGCACACAGUAAGUACUCAAUAUAUGAUGGUUCUAUAUCAAUAUUAAUACAUAAUUAUUAUUUAUUUGUGAACGGAAAUGUGGAGGAACUCCUCCAGGCCUCUGUGAUUUGGGGUGGAUACCUCAACCACUUCAGGAAGCUUUACAAGGGUAGGGAAAAAGGCUGGAAAGGAGUGAUGUUCAGCAAGAUGGUGACAUAGGUGGUCUCCGACUUCAGUCCUCCUUAGAAGAAGACCAACUAUCCACAGACAAGACACAGCUUGAAAGUCCCAGAACCAGGCGGUGAGACUGGAGCACCCCCUGCACACAGAGACCUCGUUAGAAGGUGCAGCACAGCACUGAGAGGCCUCCCUGAGCCUGCAGUUUCUCCAGUGGGAAAAAGAGGACCCAAGGUGGACAUCCAACUCCCCCAGCACUGGGAGACACUUCCCAGGAAGCCCAUGCAGGUCUGACCUCGCAGGGACCAUGAGGGAAGUCUGCAGGCUUGACCACUGGGGAUCAGACAGAGAUGGAGGAGGUGGGCGGGGCCUACAGCAACAGCGCUCAGAUCUCGCGGACUGCUUUCCGGCUUGCAGGGGUGCCCGAGCACAGAUCCCAGCCACUGGCUCAGCCCGUCUACAGAGCCAAACCAGUGGCCCCAUCUGGCUAGAAAACUCAGGCGGCAGUUCUGCCUGAUUUGGGACCUCAGCCAAGGAGCCACACUGACUGUGGAGCCCAUUCUCCAGCCCCACCCACGCAGGGAAGAAAAUUCCCAGCCCCGUCUAAGUGCUGAGCACAGCCUCCAGUCUGGUCCCACCAGGAAGCCUGGCCAGAGAGGCUGGACAGCUGCAGAGCAAUCCUACAGCCCCGUUUGUGCAGGGAACCAAGCCAGAAGCCCUGCUGAACUGUUAAGUACAGCCUCUGGCCCCACAUAACCAGGCAGCCUGAACGGUGACCCUGGACAGCCUUAGAGCCAGCCUACAGCCUGGCCCAAUUGCUGAAGAUAGACUGUGGCCACACUCAAGCAGAGAGCCCAGCUGGUGACCCUGCCCAAUUGUGGAGAACAGUCUCUAGCCCCAUUUAACCACAGGAUACAGCUGGAAACCCCAUCUGACCAGAGAGCCUUGCCAGAAAUCUUGCCCAAUAGUGGAGCACAGCCAGCAGCCCCAUCCAACUUCGGGGCAUAGCCCACAGCCCUGCUUCAUCACAGAACAUAGCCUGAGAAUGCGCUCACCCACAAAGCCCUGCCUGUGGCCCCAUGGACACAUGAAGUCCAGCCAGCAGCACCACCCAGGCAGGAAGUACAGCCUGAGACCCCAUCUGACCAGGAGAGAUUGUGGAGCUCGGCCCACAGCCUUGCUCAAUCUUGGGGUCCAACCAGUGACACCAUCCUGGCUGGGAACACAGCCUGAGAACUGACCCAACCAGAGGUGAUUGCAAAGCCUUGCUAGUGGCCCUACCUGACUGUGAAGCACAGUCAUCAGCCCCACCCAAUCAGGGAGACCACCCAAAAGCCCUGGUUGAAAGCAGAGCCCAGCCAGCAGACCACCACCCAAGUGCAGAGCCCACCCAGUGGCACCCUCCUCUGACUUCAGAGCACAGACAGUGGCCUCACCCAACUAGAGACCCGGAUAGCAAGCCCUGCCUGCUCAUGGGUGCUACCAGCUGAGCCAUCCAGCACACCAAGCUGAGCUGACUGGUGAAGGUCUUUCCCUGAUGAAGAGAACCUUGAAAGUCUGCAAGAGGAGAUCCCUUAAGCAAAUGUGCAGAAACCAAUGCCAGGAAUCAAAGAAAAUGAAAAAUCAGGUAAACUUUACACCUCCAAAGGAAACUACUAGAGCUCCAAAAACAGACCCUAAAGAAAUGGAGAACUAUGAACUAUCUGACAAAGAAUUCAGAAUAAUCUCUUGAAUUCAGUGAACUAGAAGAACGUAGACGGACAGACAAACAAAAUUAGGAAAGCAAUGCAUGAACAAAAAGUUCAACAAAGAAAUAGAAACCACAAAAAAAAAAAACCCCACAGAAAUUCUAGAGCUGAAGAAAACAAUGACUAAACUGAAGAAUAUGAUAGAGAGACUCAACAUCAAACUUGAUCAAGCAGAAGAAAGAAUCAGCAAACCAGAAGAUAGGCCAUGUGAAAUUAUCCACUGAGAGGAGCAAAGAGACAAAAGAAUGAAAAAGAAUGAAGAAAGUCUAUAGGAUUUACAGGACAGCAUCAAAUGAAACAAUAUGGGAGUUGCAGAGGGGGAGAAUGAAAAAGAAACAGAAAGUAUAUUCAAAGCAAUAAUGGCUGAAAACUUCCAAAACUUGGGAAGAGAAAUGGACAUCCAGAUUCGUGAGGCCUAAGCAACACCAAAUAGGUUAAACUCAAAAAGAGCUACACAGAGACCUGUUAUAAUUAAAUUGCCAAAAGUCAAAGACAAGGAGAGAAUUUUGAAAACAGUGAGUGAAGAGCAACUCAUGACAUAUAAAGGAGCCCCCAUUAGACUAUGACAGUUGUCUCAACAGGAACUCUGCAGACCAGGAGAAAGUGGGAUGACAUAUUCAAAAUACUAAAAGCCAUCAAUCAAGAAUACUAUACACAGCAAAGUUGUCCUUCAGAAAUGAAGGAGGGAUAAGGACUUUUCUGAACAAACAAAAGCUGAGGGACUUCAUCACUACUAGGCCUGCCUUACAAGAAACACUAAUGAGUGUUCUUCAAGCUGAAGUAAAAGGAUGCUAAUUAACAUCAUAACACAUAUGACUGUGUAAAACUCAUUGGUAAUAGUAAAUAUAUAGUCAAAAGUCAGAUUCUCUAAUAUCAUAAUGGUGGUGCAUCAUUUAUUUACAAUUAUUCUUUAAAAGUUAAGAAAACAAAUGUAUUUUAAAAACCAUAUUAAACAUAUUAAAAACAACAACUACAAUAAAUUGUUAUUGGAUACACAGUAUAAAAAAGAUGUAAAUGUAACAUCAAUAACCUAAAAUAUGAGGAAGGAAGAAGUAAAAGUACAAAGUUUCUGUAUGCUAUUGAAGUUAAGUUGUUAUCAGCUUAAAAUAGGAUGUUAUAAAUAUAAUUUAUGUAAGCCCCAUUAUGACAAAGAGAUCAAAGCAUACUACCACAAAACAAGCAUAAAAUCACAAAGGAAGACAGGAAGAGAGAAAGCAAGGAACAAAAGACCUACAAAGCAGUCAGAAAACAACUAACAAAAUGGCAAUAGUAUGUUCUUGCCUAUCGAUAAUUACUUUAAAGGUAACUGGAUUAAAUUCUCUAAUCAAAAACAUGAAAUGGCUGACUGGGUAAAAAAGCACAAAAGACCCAAUGAUACGCUGCCCACAAGAGACUCACUUUAGCUUUAAGGAAACACACAAACUGAGAGUGAAGGGGUGGAAAGAGAGAGUUCAAGCAAACGGUGACCAAAAGAAAGCAGGGGGAGCUGUACUUUAGUCAGAUGAAAUGGACUUUAAGCUAAAAAUGGUGAAUCUAUCUAUCUAUCUGUCAAGAGUAUAUAACAAUUGUAAAUAUUUAUGCACCCAACAUCAGAGCACCUAAAUAUAUAAAGCAAAUACUAGCAGAACUAAAAGGAGAGAUAAACAGCAAUAUGAUAAUAGUUGAGGACUUGAAUAGCCCACUCUCAACAAUGGAUUCAUCGUCCACACAGAGAAUCCACAAGGAAACAGCAGAUUUCAACAACAUUGUAGACCAAAUGGAUCUAACAACAUAUACAGAAUGUUCCAUCUAAUGGCAGCUGAAUACACAUUCUUCUCAAGCAUGCAUGGAACAUUUUCUAGGACAGAUCAUAUAUUAGGCCACAAAACAAGUCUCAACAAACUUAAGAAGAUAAAAACUAUAUCAAAUGUCUUUUUAUGACCACAAAUAUAGUAUGAAAUGGUGUGAAACUAGAAGUCAAUAACAGGAGGAAAGUGAGAAAAUUCACAAAUACAUGGAAAUUAAACAACAUGCUCCUGAACAAUUAAUGGAUCAAAAAGGAAAUUAA